RNAcentral lists this ribosomal RNA (253 nucleotides) under uncultured bacterium. RNAcentral describes it as "partial 16S ribosomal RNA". It matches the Rfam family "Bacterial small subunit ribosomal RNA", at positions 524 to 776 of the family's 1533-position model. The record is from RNAcentral.
UACGUAGGGGGCAAGCGUUGUCCGGAAUCAUUGGGCGUAAAGCGCGUGUAGGCGGUCCGGUAAGUCCGCUGUGAAAGUCGGGGGCUCAACCCUCGGAUGCCGGUGGAUACUGUCGGGCUUGAGUACGGAAGAGGCGAGUGGAAUUCCUGGUGUAGCGGUGAAAUGCGCAGAUAUCAGGAGGAACACCAAUUGCGAAGGCAGCUCGCUGGGACGUCACUGACGCUGAGACGCGAAAGCGUGGGGAGCAAACAGG